AAAUCAAAGGUAGACUCGUUGUACUCUUUUCGCCAGUGCUUAUUCGCAGGAUCAUAUCAUCUUCUGUAGAUAUUAGGAAUUACGAAUGAAUCGAAAAGUCCGAGUCCGCCCGUUUGCUACAAUCUACAGUGAAACUAAACACCAACGACCACAAUCACAACCUCGUACUACGAGUACACGAGAACCGAACCACAAAGGACGGAAACGCAAUGUAAAUCCGGACCCAGCUGUAACAUGGCAGAACCACGUAAGGCACGGUGAAGAACUAACGCGUAUUUGACGCGCAUUAAAGCUGAAUUUUCAGAAACGCUCUAAACGUGCAACGUAGAUGGGCGAGCUAUCGGUAUCAGUCGUAUCUUGCAGAUGAUACCUGUAGAAGUACCACAAAAUCUCUGUUCGCAGCUGUUGAAAGCUCGGUAACGCGUUUAAAGCGAGCUCGUCCGUGCCGGGUUAGUUGCGCGUGUUCGGCUGCCGGGUCCGAGAGUUAAUUCGUCAAACGAAGAAGACAGAGAGACUCCUCGUCCGAUUUCAACGUCGGCUUUCCGCCCUACUUCGCGCACGAAUCCACUCUCGCGCAGCGUCGUUCAAAAGUGUAUCGUUGAAUUAUUCAUGACGCGUGUUCUUUUGGACUACGUUAGCGCCGACCACCGCCCACCUCGCCGAGACUUCUCGUUAAGACGUUUGCACGGUGAAUACAAACGCGCGAUUCCGGCAGAAAAAUAAGCGCUAUCAUCGAACGCGCACUCGUUUUCCCGCCGCUUCCCUUUGUAAAUAAGAACGCAGCUAAUGAAACGGGGAAAAAGCAGCAGGGAAUUGCCGUCCACUCGUACCAGGGGACACUUACAAUACGUUGAUUGAAUUUCACCAGUCACGCGCCACGCGCUUCUCGGGAUAAUCCAACAUCCAAUCCAACAUUGUCAGUUCCGCUUCUUUUACGGUAUAAAAUUCGCGUGACGUUAGCGUCUCUCUGUCGGUACGGAACAAUUCACGCGCACCGAAUCCUUCCGCGUUGAUCCUAAUCGCACCGCUUAUUGGAACCAGUGGCCGAUAUUCUCUUUGAUAUUUCGACCUGCACGCGAGACGCGAAACGGCCGGUCGACGGUGGAAUAUUACCGACGAUCGAUCCGCGAUUAUGCAUACGUGACGUUAUCCUAUCAAUCGGGAUUCGUCGGUGGUAUCAGGCCAGCCACCGGCACCGCCAACGAAGAAGCUCGCGCUAAUUCUGCCACGGUUUGCAGACGACGUCCAUGCUCUAAUACCUGAUUACGUAUGCGUGCAUCCGCGUACACGUUGGUCUACCGGGAUUAGACUCUAUCCGGACAAACGGCACCGGUCUGUUCCACUCUGGUUUAACAUUGAGCCCUUAAUCUGUACGUUAUACCUCUUAUCUGGCCGACUAGGCCACGCGGAAUCGGCCGUGCCACAUCGAAAAUUCGCUACAGCUAUUCAUUAUGGAUUAUCCGACGCAGCUAAUCAGCCAGCCGGAAGACUAUAUUUCGGCCAGGUUACCCGGACGCACCGGAGGCCGGCUAUCAGCCGUACGCCCGGUUAAUUAGACAUAGUCGAUCCGGAGAACUAUGAUCGUCGAUGUUCGUUAUACGGCUAUAAUAUUAGAUAGUUGAUUAGACGGGACGGUGUCGCCAGGCCGCUAGACCGUUUGCUUGGAAGGCAGUUAAUUAAGGGACAAUCGUUCCGCGGUUAUAGCGUUAAUUAGCCUGUUCGUGGGCCGCGCAGCGUCCGACGAAGAAUCGUCGUCGUUUUAGUUUUACAACUUGCUCUGUCACUCGUCGAAUAACUUGCUUAGUUACGAGAUAAGUGUCUCGUAUAAGCAUUAAGGCACAAUGAGGGUAAUACGAAAGACGUUUUCCAUGGAGGAUAUAUGAAUUUCUGUUACUUGCGUGUGAACAAUCUUGUUCGAGAAUAGGGUUAGGACAAAUUGGUUUAAUUUCAAGUAUUUAAGAUAUAAUAAUCGUAUGGCCUUGACGGUAUAAAUGUCGUUUAAUUCAAAGGGUCCCCUUUUACAUUUACCCCGCAUAGAUCAUGCGACGAACAGAUCUGUUCUUCGUCGUAAAAAGAAAUAAAAAGAAAUAAAAGUAAAUCGUAUUUGGCAAAGACCAAUUGAAAUUGAGCGAAUAGUACGAUUAACGCGUGGUUUCCAAGUUCUCUGCAAAAUGACUACGAGCCUAAAAUGGAGCUGUGACCUGUCACUUGUAAUAAUUAUACAAUGCGUUUAAUUAAUUUUGCAUCUUUUUAAGGAUCGCUAGAUCUGUCCGCACGACUCGUGGCUCAAUUAGGUUUCGAGCUUCGUCCGAUUUCGACCGCCGAUUUUACGAUAUCGGCACCGAUAUAUUCAUCGACGAUUCGGUCAGAGAAAACUCAGAUCACGUUGGAUAUGGGACGUCAAAUCGUCCACUGGAACGCCGACGGUGAUCGAAAUUAAAUAUUCAAUCAGUGCUGAAUGGAGUAUCGAAUGAAGCGGAAAGAAGAGAGUCAGAACGAUCAGGUGGAGGCAGACAAUGCCUUUAUGAAAUUACGUUAAACGAUAGCCGCCAUAAAAACGUCAAAUCUGUUUCCAUGGAUCAUGUCGCAGGGUCCCUCGAAUCUACCGUUCAACGAAACUACUAUUCAGCGAUAGUGUCGCUAAAAUCUGUCAUUGAUACACUAACGUUGUACCUGAAAUGCGUGGAUAACGCACCAGAUACCCAACGAUUACUCGAAUCGGAAACGAAUAAAAGAGAGAAGGUUACGCGUGGCCGAUGCUAAAACGUAUUGUCCGUACGAGAACGAUUAAUUUGGCCAAAGACUAAACUAGCUUCUCAUAACCGGUACUAUACCUGAAGUAUCGUUGGCGGUACGUUCAGCGGCAAACGAUGCGAAACCGAUGUGGCGCGCGAUGAAAUUGAAGAAAGACGAGGCGACACGACCGGGAGAGUUGCGGCCGUUGGAAACAUAGUAGGAAGAAGAGAUUCUGUCGAGAACGAAGCGGAAGAAAGUUGCGACUGGCAUGGACGUGGGGUUGGUUUCAAUCGGAAAUGGGCUUCCAACCAGCCGAAUAAACGACAACCGAGUCGUGAUAGACGGUGGUGGUGCAAUUUAAACUUUCUCGUUCUCGCCGGCUUAUGGCUCUUUCGACUCACGAACGAACCGGCCCAAGAUAGUGGCUGACAGCUCGGAAGAAAGAUGGCAAAAGGCGGCACCGAUAAUAUACCUAAACCUCGGGAUUCGCCUUGGAACGAUCAAAGUAUCGGCAAGAUUUUGACAGAGAUCCGAAUCACGGCGUUUAACAUUCGCCGUUACAAAAGGCAGAGAAUCGUCGGAUCUUUUUCUUCUUUCGUCUCGCUGUAUUCGCACUGUUGCAUUUAACUGACGCGUAGAUUAGCAGCGACGCAGCGAUGAACCAACUGCUUGGUCCAACACUGGUCUAUCUUGCAGAGACCAACACCCAAAAAGAAAAGAAUAUCGACGUUUCGCCAGCAUUGCAGUCGUAGUGUGUAGUCUUUCGUGGUCUGGAUGUUCCGAGAUGGUAACGAGAGUGUCGCUCGGAUGAGAGUCGCGGGUGAACGAUCGACGCGAAGUCGAUUUUCAAGCUGGAUGAUCGGCUAAGGGUACUCUUAAUUGGACGGCUGAUCAAUUAAAACAGGAACGAACGGAAAGUACGCUGUAUAGGGUGGAGAU
Molecule: long non-coding RNA, 3675 nt
Organism: Bombus impatiens (common eastern bumble bee)
Lineage: Eukaryota; Metazoa; Arthropoda; Insecta; Hymenoptera; Apidae
Exons: 2
Source: RefSeq, a predicted model, not a curated record